ACAGUCUGCUAUAAAGACUUGAUAUCAUGCUGUCAGCUGCAGCAGAAGAAGAGAAGAUCCCAUCAGAUCACCUUCAGUACCAACCAUGUUCUCUGUAGCUCUGCUGCUGCUGCUGGCAGCUGGAUCCUGUGUGAAGUGUGAACAGUUGACACAGCCAGCCUCUGUGACUGUGCAGCCAGGUCAACGUCUGACCAUCACCUGUCAGGUCUCUUAUUCUGUUAGUGGCUACUGGACAGCUUGGAUCAGACAGCCUGCAGGGAAAGGACUGGAGUGGAUUGGA
Molecule: long non-coding RNA, 280 nt
Organism: Epinephelus moara (kelp grouper)
Lineage: Eukaryota; Metazoa; Chordata; Actinopteri; Perciformes; Serranidae
Exons: 2
Source: RefSeq, a predicted model, not a curated record